UUUUUUUUUUUUUUUUUAACUUUAAGAAAAUGACUCAAGGGGUAGUUAUAGAUAUUUGGCCUGAUUUUAAUAGGCGAAGGGAAUGAGCUCCAGAGGUCAAUAAACCCCUCCAAAAUGAUGAAUGAUUGAGUACCUGUGAUGAUGAUAGUGAUUACCGGAGCAAUUAAACAGUUUGAUUAAAUGAGCCAUCAUAACAAUGAUGUCUGCGGGAAAUCAGCCCUCACGUAUAAAGAAAGAUAGUGUGGAGAGCUGACAAACGCCAGUGGGCAUUCCUGCAUGUUCCGCUAGCGCCGAGCCCUGCAGAGCAAGGCUGUAUUUACAAAUAUGAGAGGAAUACGGAGAAAAGUCCCUCUCCUACUUAGAGCCAGAGUUGCACCCUGCUUAAAACCCGCCAGAAGCCGGAGAGCAGACACGGGGUUUUCUUUUUCCUAGAGGAUGUCCUCCAAGAUUAAAGCUAGUCCUAAGAGCAACCGAAUUGCUGUGACUGACUUUCACGGGACUGUAAAGAGAGAUCGGCUCAAAAGUCCAAAGAGAAAUGAGGUGUCCGGUAUGGAAGUGCAUCUCAGUCAACCGCCAGCUCCUUUUGCCGAGGCUGGAAAUGGUUUUAACAGGCGCCUUGCAAAAGCGGAUGGCACAACAGCUGCCUGUAAAACUCCAGAAGAGGAGCGCUCUCAUUUUUACACUGGAGUUCUCGGUCCGGAGAGAACAAUAUACUCCUACCUCUUUUGAAAUGAUCCGGAGACUCUCACAACACACAGGCAAUCACUCGAAGCACGAAUUUCCUUUUUUUUUUUUUUCCCAAGAACUGCUCGGCCCAUUGUUUGAAGUGGGAUUCAGUGCAGAGCCCAAAGAGAAAAGGAAAAAAAAAAAAUCCUGAGAGCCCGGCUUGGUAUUGCACAGAGAGAGAGCUGACAAAAUAUUAUAGCGUGUUUCCUAGAAGUACAUGGUGAGAGCCGGCAGUGUGUUCCCGAAAAGAGGUUGCUUUUUAUUCCCACCACCACCCCUCUCAAGAUUGUGAUCGUCUUUGUAUGUCUUUCUUUUGAUCCCACAAAGAGAAUGCAAUACACAUAUAUGUGUUUGCUCUCCAUACAAGAAAUGCCAUACAAUGGAAUAUGUGGCCGGUUAGUCCUCAUAAUGCUUAGUUUUGCUGUAAUUAAUUGAAAACAGUUAUUAGGUCGUCAUUGGCAAUAGCGUAAAUAAUUGCAGCAGAUUUUUACUUAAAAUUGACCGGUCAUAGAGUGAUAGAUCGAUUCGAGGUAUAAAAAUGAUGUAUCAAAACAUCAAUGUCGAUUAUUUGAAAUAUUGUAGUCGAAUCUUUUUAUUGCUUCAUCGGUUAAGUGUCUGAAAGUGCUGUGUUCCAACAUAUAUUUAUGUUGUCAAUACUGUCAAAACUGUCAGUUUUAUUACAGUGGAUUUGUAAUACAUUUCGGAUUUGCUCAUUUACAUAAAAUGUCCACCUCAGAUACCCCUCCUUUUCUCCAUCUCUGGAAAUCUGUGUCAGUUUAAUGAAAGGAUUCAAGACUCAUACCUGAAGAGGGGGAAAAAAAAGAAAAAGGAAAGGAGAAAAAAAAAAAAAAGGAGGUGUUGCUCCAUUAUGUCCAAUUUUAACAUCCGUUUGGAAAGCUUGGGCUAUUUCUGACUCGCCAAAAGAGGGAAUUCCUCCCCCCUUCCCCCUCCCUCCCCCGGCCCCGCUUAUUUCCCUAGUAGAAUUUAAACACUUUCCUACUCUUACACCUAGAUUAAACCCUCCAGGAGAAUUGGGAAAUUGUACAGGGUUACAGCAAGGAGCCGAAGCACACCUGUGAAUGCCACAACCUUCCCAAAGAGAGCAACAAUCCCCCGAACCAUGCACACACGCACAGGGGUUUGAAUCCUGCUAGAAAGAAGGAGACAAAAGGAGCAAUAAAUACGUGUGUGAUCCUUUCCUAACGGUUUGG
Molecule: long non-coding RNA, 1937 nt
Filed under: Junco hyemalis (dark-eyed junco)
Lineage: Eukaryota; Metazoa; Chordata; Aves; Passeriformes; Passerellidae
Description: lncRNA (ENSJHYG00000004922.1)
Source: RNAcentral